This 484-nucleotide ribosomal RNA is filed under the name uncultured bacterium. RNAcentral's name for it is "partial 16S ribosomal RNA". It matches the Rfam family "Bacterial small subunit ribosomal RNA", at positions 30 to 507 of the family's 1533-position model. The record is from RNAcentral.
AUUGAACGCUGGCGGCAGGCCUAACACAUGCAAGUCGAGCGGAUGAAGGGAGCUUGCUCCUGGAUUCAGCGGCGGACGGGUGCGUAAUGCCUAGGAAUCUGCCUGGUAGUGGGGGAUAACGUCCGGAAACGGGCGCUAGUACCGCAUACGUCCUGAGGGAGAACGUGGGGGAUCUUCGGACCUCACGCUAUCAGAUGAGCCUAGGUCGGAUUAGCUAGUUGGUGGGGUAAAGGCCUACCAAGGCGACGAUCCGUAACUGGUCUGAGAGGAUGAUCAGUCACACUGGAACUGAGAAACGGUCCAGACUCCUACGGGAGGCAGCAGUGGGGAAUAUUGGACAAUGGGCGCAAGCCUGAUCCAGCCAUGCCGCGUGUGUGAAGAAGGUCUUCGGAUUGUAAAGCACUUUAAGUUGGGAGGAAGGGCAGUAAGUUAAUACCUUGCUGUUUUGACGUUACCAACAGAAUAAGCACCGGCUAACUUCGUG